UGGCACUAAAACCCUCAAAAUAAAAGAUCAGCGCUCCUCCGCCGCCCGGCCGCCGUUUCCGAUGGAUCCGUUAACCCUCCUCCGGGAAUACACCAUCAGCAACUCACUCGACCGAAUCGUCCGAGUCAACGACGAUUUCCGCUUCGGCUCCGACUACUCCUUCCCCGCCACCAUCGAGACCACCUACCGCUCCAAGCACGUGCAGCAGACGCGCCGCUACACCCUCGAAACCCUAGUCCACUUCAUCACCAACCACCACCUCAAGCACACCGAAUACAUCCAGAACGCCCGCGCCCUCCGCAUCCCCGCCGUCACUCUCCCCGAUCGGAAGCCGCUCCUCGAUUACCUCACCGGGAAAGUCCAAUCCUCCGAUUCAAUUGUCCCCCUCGAUUUCCCCAACAUUAACCCCCAAAUUAGCAACGUAGAUCGCAGCUUGCAGUACGAGGCGGGCGAUUCCGUGGGUUUGGACGGCGGGACUAGUUUGAUUGAGCUGAUUAGGGCGAAGGAGAGGCCAAUUAGGGAUAAAGAGGCAAUGCUGGUUUUCAAAAAACGUGAUUUCUACAGCGUGCUCACCUCGGCGUUGAAGAGGGAUGAGGAGAGACAGCGGAUGGAGGCGCUGCAGAGGAAGGAUAACAUUGUGGCGAAGAAUCGGAUUGAGAGUAGAGGGUUUGGUGUGGGUGAGGAGGCAACUAAGAUGCGGAAGAUUGGGGAAGGGGUUCCAAUCAUUUUGGUCCCAAGUGCAUUUUCGACUUUGAUCACAAUAUAUAAUGUGAAGGAGUUUUUGGAAGAUGGGGUUUUUAUUCCCACUGAUGUGAAGCUGAAGCAGAUGAAAGGGGGGAAGCCUGAUUGUGUGACGGUGCAGAAGAAGUUCAGUAGGGAUCGCGUGGUGACAGCUUAUGAGGUGAGGGACAAGCCCUCUGCGCUGAAGAGCGAUGAUUGGGAUCGUGUGGUUGCAGUUUUUGUGCUUGGGAAAGAGUGGCAGUUCAAAGACUGGCCUUUUAAGGACCACGUGGAGAUCUUUAAUAAGAUUCUUGGGUUCUUCAUGCGCUUUGAGGAUGACAGUGUGGAAUCAGCAAAAGUUGUGAAGCAGUGGAAUGUCAAGAUUAUUUCGAUAAGCAAAAAUAAGCGACAUCAGGACAGAGCUGCAGCUCUGGAGGUGUGGGAUAAACUUGAAGAAUUUAUGCGAUCUCGAUCUCGUUAGAGGGUCAGGGGGUUGGAAAAUGGAAACAAGGUUGCAUAGCUCAGGCAACAUCACGGACUAUGUGACCUGGAAUUGACAUGUUAAUUUAUAUGCAGAAGAUGAAACUAGAAACCAACAAAGAUUAUGACCAACUUGUUCAAUGUGGGAAACUUCCCCUGUGCUUGUGGAGGCAGAGCAGCAAUGUGAUCUGGUGUGAGGUUGAGCUUGUAAAUUCACCAUGCUUAUUCGAGUUGUCGUUUCUCAGUUUCUCAGUUGUUUUCAUGUUGUAGAUGAGUAUUGUUUAGGGGUAACAAUUUGGAAAUGAUAUCUAAUGCUGUUUAAUUUGUAUGUCUUCUCCUUCUUCUAAUGUUAGUUUUUAGAUGUAGUUUGUAUAAAACUAGAUUAUUUGAUUAACAGCAACUAUUAUGUUA
RNA transcript from Salvia hispanica, 1611 nucleotides. It is a transcript of the gene named PLANT HOMOLOGOUS TO PARAFIBROMIN, with no coding region annotated. Lineage: Eukaryota; Viridiplantae; Streptophyta; Magnoliopsida; Lamiales; Lamiaceae. The record is from RefSeq and is a predicted model, not a curated record.